AUGACCAUCACCAUAACCAUGACCACAACCACGACCACAACCACAACCGUAACCAUCACCAUCCCCAUCACCAAAACCAUAACCAUCCCCAUGACCAUGACCACAAUCAUAAUCAUAACCAUGACCAUAACCAUGACCAUCCCCAUCCCCAUCACCAAAACCAUAACCAUCCCCGUAACCAUGACCAUGACCACAACCACAACCAUAACCAUCCCCAUAACCAUCCCCAUAACCAUCACCAUGACCAUAAACCAUGACCAUGACCAUCACCAUAACCACAACCACGACCACAAUCAUAACCAUAACCAUCGCCAUAACUAUGACCAUGACCACAACCACAACCACGACCAUAACCAUCCCCAUAACCAUAACCAUCCCCAUAACCAUAACCACAACCACAACCACAACUGUAACCAUCCCCAUAACCGUAACCAUCCCUAUAACCAUGACGGCAACCACAACCACAACCACAACCAUAACCAUCCCCAUAACCAUAACCAUCCCCAUAACCAUAACCACAACCACAACCACAACUGUAACCAUCCCCAUAACCGUAACCAUCCCUAUAACCAUAACCAUCCCCAUAAUCAUGACCAUGACCAUCUGCAUAACCAUAACCAUCCCCAUAACCAUGACAGCAACCACAACCACAACCAUAACCAGGACCACAACCACAACCAUCCCCAUAACCAUAACCACCCCCAUAACCAUCCCCAUAACCACGACCACAACCACAACCACGACCAUAACCAUCCCCAUAACCAUAACCAUCCCCACCCCCAUAACCACCCCCAUAACCACAACCACAACCGUAACCAUCCCCACAACCAUCCCCAUAACCAUGACCACAACCACGACCACAACCACAACCGUAACCAUAACCAUUACCAUCCCCAUCACCAAAACCAUAACCAUCCCCAUAACCACAACCACAACCACAACCACAACCACAACCAUAACCAUCCCCAUAACCACAACCACAACCGUAACCAUCCCCAUAACCAUAACCAUGACCACAACCACAACCAUAAUCAUCCCCACAACCAUCCCCAUAACCAGGACCACAACCACAACCAUCCCCAUAACCAUAACCACCCCCAUAACCAUAACCAUCCCCAUAACCAUGACUACAACCACAACCAUAACCACAACCAUAACCAUCCCCAUAACCAUCUCCAUGACCAUCACCAUGACCACAACCAUGACCAUAACCGUCCCCAUAACCAUCCCCAUAACCACAACCAUAACCAUAACCAUCCCCAUAACCAUAACCAUCCCCAUAACCGUAAUCAUCCCCAUAACCAUAACCACCCCCAUAACCAUCCCCAUAACCAUAACCGUGACCACAACCACAACCAUAACCAUCCCCAUAACCAUCCCCACAACCAUCCCCAUAACCAUAACUACCCCCACAACCAUCCCCAUGACCACAACCACAACCAUAACCAUCCCCAUAACCAUAACCAUCCCCAUAACCAUAACCAUGACCAUAACCAUCCCCAUAACCAUCUCCAUGACCAUCACCACGACCACAACCACAACCAUAACCAUCCCCAUAACCAUCCCCACAACCAUCCCCAUAACCAUAACUACCCCCACAACCAUAACCAUAACCGUCCCCAUAACCACAACCACCCCCAUAACCAUCCCCACAACCAUCCCCAUAACCAUAACUACCCCCAUAACCAUCCCCAUGACCACAACCACAACCAUAACCAUCCCCAUAACCAUAACCAUCCCCAUCACCAUCCCCACCACCACGACACCACCCCCCCAUAA
Phasianus colchicus (ring-necked pheasant) is the source of this 1779-nucleotide long non-coding RNA. NCBI's taxonomy places the organism in Eukaryota, Metazoa, Chordata, Aves, Galliformes, Phasianidae. The record is from Ensembl.